GAUGAACGCUGGCGGCGUGCUUAACACAUGCAAGUCGAACGGGAAACCUUUUAUUGAAGCUUCGGCAGAUUUAGCUGGUUUCUAGUGGCGGACGGGUGAGUAACGCGUGGGUAACCUGCCUUAUACAGGGGGAUAACAGUCAGAAAUGGCUGCUAAUACCACAUAAGCGCACAGAGCUGCAUGGCUCAGUGUGAAAAACUCCGGUGGUAUAAGAUGGACCCGCGUUGGAUUAGCUGGUUGGUGGGGUAACGGCCCACCAAGGCGACGAUCCAUAGCCGGCCUGAGAGGGUGAACGGCCACAUUGGGACUGAGACACGGCCCAGACUCCUACGGGAGGCAGCAGUGGGGAAUAUUGCACAAUGGGGGAAACCCUGAUGCAGCGACGCCGCGUGAAGGAAGAAGUAUCUCGGUAUGUAAACUUCUAUCAGCAGGGAAGAUAAUGACGGUACCUGACUAAGAAGCCCCGGCUAACUACGUG
Molecule: ribosomal RNA, 478 nt
Filed under: uncultured bacterium
Lineage: Bacteria
Description: partial 16S ribosomal RNA
Rfam family: Bacterial small subunit ribosomal RNA
Source: RNAcentral